GACAGCUAGAAGUGACAGGCAAGACCGAAUGCAGACCAGGCAGGGAGAGGCUGGACGACCUUCGGAAGGAACACGGGAAGGACGAUCGGGCUUUGGACGAUGCGCACUUCCUCGAGAUGGGAUCCUGUUUUUAUUGUCCCAACUGGCCCACGCCCUACAAGGAGCGAUUGGACCUUUCUUAAUCCAAUCUAUGAGGUUCCCCCAUCUCCGAUAUCAGAGACGUGCUUUUCUCAAGGUAAGGUUAAGAUCCUCGUCUCUGACGCCAUAAGCGAGGGGCCCACUUUGGGUGAAAGUAAUUUGGUUCUUAUUUUUCCUUUUAAGAAAAUGAUAUUCAGUCUCUCCAAGCUUUCUCUGUCCAAUAUAACCUAUGAUUAAUUGUCUCCUAUAUCUUAGGAUGACUUCUGCAAGUCAUUCGGCUAUUACAUCAAUGGAAAGCUAAAAAUUUUGUCAUACAAG
Molecule: long non-coding RNA, 456 nt
Filed under: Androctonus crassicauda
Lineage: Eukaryota; Metazoa; Arthropoda; Arachnida; Scorpiones; Buthidae
Source: RNAcentral